UUUUUGUGUGGGCCCUAUGGCUAUGCUAUCAAGUGUUGUUCAUGUUUGGCAAGAUCUACCGGUACGUAGGUAGACUAUAUAUAGUUUCAUCAUUAAUAUGGUGGAUCAAGUAAAGAGUGUGAGCUAGAGAACUUGGUGCUGCCAUCAUCAGCUCGUCGACAAUGACACUAUAACCGAGAAAUUUAAUAUGUAUAGAUCUACACAUAAUUAUUUAAAAUGUCUACUUCUCUGUACAGGAUCUAGGAGCAAUGGCUAAUAUCCAGCUAUCCCAACAGUGCUCCUCUUGGCUAUACUAACGGACGAGACUGGACAGUUUGAGGACUGGAGUAUGACCUGCUCAUUCGAGCGUUGCUGGGUAGCUCAGAGACAUCAAGAGAAUCUACGUUUUCUCAAGCAAAAUUUAACUGAGUUACGAGUUGGGGCCUAGAAUCACAGAAGUCCAGCAGCCUGCUAAAUCUUUUUGAAAUGUAAUUUGAAGGCAUUCAAUCAUCCUGAAGUUGCCCUGGGUCACUGUAAUUCAACUCCCCAGGCCUUUGUGAAGCAGCUCCCUAUGUGCAUCUUUUGUGUACUCACUCUGUGCAUUUUGUGUGUACAAAUUUCGAUUAUUGAUUUAUUAAAUAUUUUUGCCGACCACAAAUAUACAAUGAAAAUUUGACGCAUGCGCAGACAACUAGUACCAGGCCCAGUUGUUUGCCUAGCCGUUAUAAAAGCGAAAACUCGGCCUGGGAUCGAGGCUAAUCAGAGAGGCUAUUGUUGUUGGAGUUCUGCUGAUCUUGCAUACCAGCCACGCCCCCACUAUUGCAAAGGUUAUGAGGAGCCCACUCCCAAAAUGGCUGGAGGAGGUGUAGAGAUCUGAAGGUUGUCUAGCGCUGCAGGAGUAUACUAGGAAUAUUGCACAUACAGCUUAUACCCAUAGGCCUGUCAAUGGGCAAUAUUAUAGGUCUAGGUCUAGUCUAGUUGCAGAGCAUGUCGUACAAUGUGUAAAGAUUGCUCAUGACAGUGUGUGUAUUUAUCAUUGUGUAGAGGAGAUGUGUUUGUUGAGUGGGAGCAUCCUCCGUCACCAUCACUCUCCAGUAUCCAUGGAGAUGACACUAUCCUCUUUGAGCUCCUGAGAACUAAACAACAUUCAACAGUUGACGACAAUCGACGAUGCAAAUACGUUAGAAUCCAGCCAUGCAUGACAUGUGCACAGACUGUGGGGGGUCUGGUAUCAAGGUGACCCAUCGCCCACUCGGCCCCGGCAUGAUGCAGCAGAUACAGAGCGUGUGCACAGACUGUGGGGGGUCUUGUGAGAUUACAUAAGAGACAAGAACAAGUGCAAGAAAUGCAAAGGAAAGUGUCUCGUGGAAAUCAACCACAAACAAGAGAACACUGCUGGUGACGACCAUAGUGACAAGGAGAGUCGACUGUGACCUGUUUGUGGAGAAGAGCAUCAGUUUAAAGGAUACCUUGUGUGGCUUCACUUGCACUUUGUACCCCCUGGACGAGAGGAGCGUGGGUGGGUCCAAGUCACCAGGAGCAGUGCUGUCACCAGGUGAGUAGGUGGCCGGUAGGAGGAGGAUUGUGUAUAGGGCUGCCUUUGAGAGGAGUGUACAUACAAGCUAUUAUAGUGUGUCCCAGCCUUACAAGCUGAGGGGACAUGUGUUAGGGUUAGGUACCUUAGGACUGUUCAUCUGGCAGCUUUAACAACUCUUAAUAUUCCACUGUUAUUACUAUAUACCAUAUAUAGCCCAAAGUGUUAAUUUUUGGGUUAGCAAUUUUCGCUGUUUUUUGUGUGUUAGCAAUCCUACACGAAAAUUAGGUCCACGAAAUACUUAGCUAACGGAAGACAUAACGUCAUUUACCAAAUAUAGCAUUUAUCCAACGAAGAGCCAUUCCACGCAAUUUUAAGUACCUCGAACAUUUCGCCCUACAUUGAAUAUGAUACAUACAUGUAGUCUUGUGAUACUAACAGUGGUAGUGCUGUGUGGGCAGUAUUGUAUAUACCUAAGAAUACUAUUGGGUAAAAAUAAGUACCCACCACUAAUCAAGUGGUACAAUGUGUGUGUGUGUGUGUGUGUGUGUGUGUGUGUGUGUGUGUGUGUGUGUGUGUGUGUGUGUGUGUGUGUGUGUGUGUGUGUGUGUGUGUGUGUGUGGGUGGGUGGGUGGGUGGGUGUGUGUGUGUGUGUGUGUGGGUGUGUGUGUGUGUGUGUGUGUGUGUGUGCGUGCGUGUGUGUCCAGGGUCUGGAGGGUGAGGGGAUGCCAGUGUUCAGGAGGCCUCAUGUCAAGGGCAACCUCUAUGUUCAGUUCACCAUCCAAUUCCCUGACUCUGGUUUCCUGGAGGAGAGUCAACUAAAGGAGUUGGAGUGUCUCCUGCCCACAGGACGUGGCCCCACCAGUACUGGACCCAGAGGCAGAGGAAGUGGAUAUGAUAGAGAGUGAGGGGACGAGGGGAGUGAGCGAGACACAAGGGGGUGGAGCCAUAUAGAAUGAAGAUGUGGAGGAUGAAGGAGUGGGCGGGGCACAGAGGGUGGGCUGCUCUCAACAGUGACACUCUUAGGAACUCUAUAUUCACCGCUUUGAUUGUAUUUAUGGACUGGUUUUGUGGUUACUGCUAUUGUUCUAAUUAUGUGAAUAACAUUUCCCCAUACCACUCAUCA
Long non-coding RNA from Halichondria panicea, 2639 nucleotides. RefSeq lists it as uncharacterized. The record is from RefSeq and is a predicted model, not a curated record. Lineage: Eukaryota; Metazoa; Porifera; Demospongiae; Suberitida; Halichondriidae. The transcript has 5 exons.